This 263-nucleotide long non-coding RNA is filed under the name Marmota monax (woodchuck). Lineage: Eukaryota; Metazoa; Chordata; Mammalia; Rodentia; Sciuridae. The record is from RNAcentral.
ACCACCCUUUUCUUACUUAACAGUUCCAAUCCUACCCUUGCUGGUGAUUGCUGGCUCUGCAUGACGGCAGGUGCAGUCAUGCCAUUGGCAGUCCCCAUUAAUUAUACCAUUGAUGAUGACAACACAUGUCAAUCUGGGCUACACUUUAAGGUGCAGCCUCUAGGUGGUUUUAUGUCUUGCCUUCUGGGCAUGAUGCAAAAUAAUACCUAUGAUGUUGAUGUUGGAGUCUCUUCCUUUGGAAACUGCUCAUUAGUAAAGAAUUA